AUGCAUGUCUAAGUACAAGCUGUGUCUGACACGGCGAGACCGCGGACGGCUCAUUAAAUCAGUCGUGGUCCAUAUGGGCCAGUGUUGAUCCUACUUGGACAACUGUGGUAAUUCCAGAGCUAAUACAUGCAACUCUUAUCCUGAAGGAGCGUCAUGCUCUCUGAUGGAUGCUUUUAUUAGACCAAACCGCUGGGUGCGUGGUGCUUCACUUCGGUGUUCUCCCGUUUGACUCGUGUGAUGGUGACUCUGAAUAACAUUUUUCUUGACAAGCGCAAGUACCCCUCUUAUGAGUUGGGACGGCGCUACCACUUUCGAGUGUCUGACUUAUCAGCUAUCAACCGUUCGUUAUGUGCGACCGAUGGCUUUGACGGGUAACGGGGAAUCAGAGUUCGAUUCCGGAGAGGCAGCCUGAGAGACGGCUACCACGUCCAAGGACGGCAGCAGGCACGCAAAUUACCCAAUCCCAGCACCUGGGGGAGGUAGUGACGAAAUCUAACGAUGCGGGCGCCCUUUCUGGGGCCCCGCAAUCGGAAUGGCCACUUUCUAAAAAACCUGUUGAGAACCUACUGAAGGGCAAGUCUGGUGCCAGCAGCCGCGGUAAUUCCAGCUUCAGUAGCAUCUAUUAAAGUUGCUGCGGUUAAAAGGCUCGCAGUUGAAUGUCAGUACCGAGCGCAGGUCAGGUGGACGCUGGGGCGUGGGAAUACAAGGCGUGCG
This 714-nucleotide ribosomal RNA is filed under the name Paralicella tenuipes. Its description in RNAcentral is "bacterial SSU rRNA". It matches the Rfam family "Eukaryotic small subunit ribosomal RNA", at positions 51 to 695 of the family's 1831-position model. Lineage: Eukaryota; Metazoa; Arthropoda; Malacostraca; Amphipoda; Lysianassidae. The record is from RNAcentral.